UAGCUGUGAAGAAAUUUACGCAUCUGUGAUGGAGGGGUCCAUCACCUUUAUCUGGAUUAAGAUGAAAUCAUGCGUUUCUGAGCUU
This is a small nucleolar RNA of Cannabis sativa, 85 nucleotides long. RefSeq annotates it as small nucleolar RNA snoR114. Lineage: Eukaryota; Viridiplantae; Streptophyta; Magnoliopsida; Rosales; Cannabaceae. The transcript has a single exon. The record is from RefSeq and is a predicted model, not a curated record.